This 405-nucleotide ribosomal RNA is filed under the name uncultured bacterium. RNAcentral's name for it is "partial 16S ribosomal RNA". It matches the Rfam family "Bacterial small subunit ribosomal RNA", at positions 30 to 526 of the family's 1533-position model. The record is from RNAcentral.
AUUGAACGCUAGCGGGAUGCUUAACACAUGCAAGUCGAACGAGUGGCGGGCGGGAGAGUAAUAUAUCAGAACGUGCCCAGUAGCGGGGGAUAACUACGCGACAGAGUGGCUAAUACCGCAUACUAUGGGAUCGGCCGAUAUGGGAUUAGCUAGUUGGUGGGGUAAAGGCUCACCAAGGCAACGAUCCGUAGCUGGUUUGAGAGGACGACCAGCCACACUGGAACUGAGACACGGCCCAGACUCCUACGGGAGGCAGCAGUGGGGAAUUUUGGACAAUGGGGGAAACCCGGAUGCAGCCAUCCCGCGUGUAUGAGAAGGCCUUCGGGUUGUAAAGUACUUUCGGCAGGGAAGCGGUAUCUGCAGAAUAAGCACCGGCUAACUACGUGCCAGCAGCCGCGGUAAUUC